GGAAACAGACUCUGAGAUGGAGAUGAGUGUGCAGGGGUGUGUGGAGAGCUCUUGGGAAUAGCACCUUUAAAAAGGCAACAUGAACGGAGGAUUGGAAAGAGCGAAAGAGUAAUACAUCAGAAGUAGAUGUUUGCAGUGUGCUGAGUUUGACCAAAAUCAAAGCCGAAGCUGUCUAUUGGACGGGUAAAGUUUCUGCUACAAGGCGUUUUGGAAACCACAGCAGGAUCCUGCUAGGAUCACGAUGGGAUGCACAUCAGCCGAGAUCGUCCACCUGGAGAGCUGUGACUCCAUGGCACCAACUGUGGGUGGCAGGCCCACUGGGUGAGCACCAGAGGAAAUGAAGAAGUGGAAUUCUCUCAUGGGACUUGUACAUUGAGUGCAAAUAAACAGAAGACAGUCAGUGCCAACACAUCUGAU
This 417-nucleotide long non-coding RNA is filed under the name Homo sapiens (human). RNAcentral's name for it is "HSALNT0131404". The record is from RNAcentral. Lineage: Eukaryota; Metazoa; Chordata; Mammalia; Primates; Hominidae.